AUUCUACUCCCUCCGUUGCACAAUACAUGCCUUCUAUUUGUCAAAAUAUAUAUGUAUCUAGACAUGUUUUAGUAUAUAGGUACAUCCAUUUUUGGACAAAUGAAAGUCAAGUAUUUUGGAACGGAGGGAGUACACA
Triticum aestivum (bread wheat) is the source of this 136-nucleotide non-coding RNA. Lineage: Eukaryota; Viridiplantae; Streptophyta; Magnoliopsida; Poales; Poaceae. The record is from Rfam.